GACGUAGGUAUUGUGUAUAUUGGCUUUGUACUUCCUAAUGUAUUGAUGCCAAAAAUGUUUUCUGCAACAUCGAUUCAUGGGGAGAAUGGGCAAUCGAGCCUCUGUUAUUGUUGUUAUCAGCACCUUUACACUCAAUUUCCUUACAUUC
This 148-nucleotide small nucleolar RNA is filed under the name Amborella trichopoda. RNAcentral's name for it is "snoRNA snoR135". It matches the Rfam family "small nucleolar RNA snoR135". The record is from Rfam by way of RNAcentral. Lineage: Eukaryota; Viridiplantae; Streptophyta; Magnoliopsida; Amborellales; Amborellaceae.